CAGAACACAGCCAUUUUUUUCCAGGCCACCUGCCAGAGCCCACAUUCCCCAGGCUCCAUAUAUGGGCCUCCCCACAGGCCCCCACAGCCAGAGCCUCACCUCUGAGGGGACUAAGGCAGCCAGGCGAGUCAGGAAGGUGGAGGCCACGUCUUAAACACCUGGCCUCUUCUUCUCUUCUCCGAGCAUCCGGAACAAAUCAGACCCACAGAAAAUCUUCACUCAUGUCCCUCAGCCAAGGCACCCUUUACCUGCGAGCUCUUUUCAGCCUGGGACGGAUUCCUGAGUCUUUCGAUUCCUUGGGCUCUGUAACCCUCCCUGAGAGGCCACAAUCCCUUAUCUGUGGAGGUCCCAGUCGUCCCCACUGUUACCCAUUUGCUUGCGACAAACAUGGGGCUGGCACUUCGGCAGGGGAAAAGCAGCAGCAGGAGUUGAUCAAUUCCUAAGCAACGGAAGAUCCUGUUUUCAUGCAAACGUCCCCGGCAUUAAAACAAAAACAAAUUCUUCCCAGGGCGCGUCCUGGAUGCCAAGUCUUCUUGCAAGACGCAUUUUGAAGCAGGGUUUUGCGCCUGCGUGGGAGACUAACGGGGGCUGGGAGGAGAGCUGCAUGCCAACGGCGACUCUAUAGGCUCUCAUUUAAAACUCACAGCCACCCCCUGAGCUAGCCACAGCCGGAUCCCGAUUUGACAGACGAGGAAACUGGCAGAGGGAAAUGAGGAAACAUGUCCAGGGUCAAUCAGCUGGCAAGUGGCAGCCAGGGGAUGUGACCAGAUCUGACCGGAGCUGUUUUGUUUUGGACACAGGCACAAUGCGACUGUAUUCACCUUACAGAGACCAGGGGGUGACCAUGAACAUUUCAAGAUGACUAGAGGUGAAAUCUUUUUCUCCUUAGUGUGCUUUUCUCAUCACAUAAAUAAAAAACUGUACUUUUCUCAACAAAGAGAAAGAAGGAAUGAACCUGGGUACCACUUCUCUUCACACGAUAAUCCGGUCCUGGGUAUGACUCUGGAUGAAAUGUUAGAACUGACUAAAUGCUGUGGAGUCUGUGAUGCCUACAAAAUGCUCAGAAGCAUCCCUGAUGACUUGGCUGUGGCCACCUUCUCAGCUCUCUUGCCUCUGAGGCCAGUAGCAGAUAAAGGGAGGGUGACAGAAAGAGAUGUAACAAACAAAUGCAGGGCCCUUAGGUGGAAAGGCAACAAAUGCCCUUGAGUUCUGAAGAGGUGGGGAUCACUGAGGGCUUCCUGGAGGAGGAAUUUAUUCCAUAGCAACUCGGAGGCUUUAUAACAGACAGCUGUGGCCUGGUCCUGCAGGAGCUGGAUGCCCACCAACUCUGGCAUUACUGGAACACUUCCAGGGACACUGGGCUGGCCCAGUGGUUAUGGACAGUGCCCACGGGCCAUCUAGCCUCCAGCUGGCUCCAGAAGCUUUGUUCUUCAGGAUCAUGGGGUUCAAAGACAACAUGCAUUGAUGGGGUAAGGGCAGACCACAAGAGUCACUUUUGGCAAAUGACCAGGCCUAUAGCACUUUUGUGCUGCAAGAUCAUCAGGUACUGUCCCCUUCCUGCUGAUUCCUUGCUCACGGCUGACGGUCCAGCCAAGACUCCAGCUCGAACCUAUUUCCUCUUGCCUCUGAAACCCUCCGUGCAGCCCCCUUUCUCACACUGAGGCAGUGGCUGCACUACGUGCUCAGAAGCACCCAGCGAUCCUGGGAUUGGGAGAUACAGAGAGCAUACCUCCUGGAGGCAGCCUUCUCAAGGUAACCAGCAAGCGAAUCCAGGGCAGGGAGGAGCUUCCUCCUGGUUCAUCUCCCUUCCUAGUGCUACUGCUACUACAGCAACUGGGACUGAGCAGGCAAAGGUCUGGUGCUGGGAAUGGUGAGUAGGCAAGUCUGGCAGGAGAAAAGGGCCCAUAAAGGGACUUUGUGGUAGUUAAAAGUGACAGGAACCAGCUGAGUGGAAAGAGCAUGGACUUUGUGUACAAAAGACCUGGGCUGGCAUCCAACACUGACGCCGUGUCAGGGGUGGAGAGUGCUCCCCAGUAUUCACCGUCUCCUUUUCCUCCCUGGGCAGCAGCUGGACUACAUUUCCCAGGCUUCUUUGUGGUGACAAGUGGUCAUGUGACAGCUUUUUGGCCAAUGGAAUUUGAAAAGAAAUGAUGUGAGCUCUGGGCCCUAAAAACCUCCCACUUGUGGUUCUGUCUUUUCUCUAUCCACCAACUGAAUGGAAAGUGCUCCCAAGACUAGAGAGAGACAGAACCACAAGAGGGAGGAGCCUGGGUCCAUGAAUCACUGUGUGGAACACCGCGUGCCAGACAUACACUCUGAAUUGUGGUCUGAGCAGGAAAUAGCCUUCUAGGGUGUGAAGCUAUUAAAAUUUGGUGAUUGAUAAAGCUGUUAGUUCAACCGGACUAGUAUAAUGUUUUACUUGCCACGUGACUUUGGAUGACUUUCUUAACCUUCCAAAGCUUAGAUCUCCUCAUCUGUAAAAUGAGAAUUAAAAACAAAACCUUCCUGAGAAUGACUGGGCUAGCAUUUGUAAAGUUCCUCCAACCAAGCCUGCUUCAUGAUUUUUGUGAGCCCUAGGCUUUUGCCUUUGUGGGUCCCUUCCUGCAUUUAAAACGAACAAAUAAACAACCUCAAAAAUUA
Phacochoerus africanus (Common warthog) is the source of this 2640-nucleotide long non-coding RNA. RefSeq lists it as uncharacterized. The record is from RefSeq and is a predicted model, not a curated record. NCBI's taxonomy places the organism in Eukaryota, Metazoa, Chordata, Mammalia, Artiodactyla, Suidae. The transcript has 2 exons.